GCAAUAUGUGAAAACAUGACGGGGCUAUCCCGAGUGCCAUCUGAUGAAGGUAGCUUUUGCCCAGUGUAACGAUCUGAGUGAAUAAGGGGAGGGCAAGUCUGGUGUCAGCCGCCGCGGUAAUACCAGCUCCUCGAGUGGUUGGGAUGAUUAUUGGGUCUAAAGCGUCCGUAGCCUGCCGGAAAAGUUCUCCGUUAAACCCAACGAUUCAAUCGUUGGACUGCGGGGAAUACUCUUCGGCUUGGGGGCGGGGGAAGUCGGCGGUAGUCCAGGGGUAGGGGUGAAAUCCUAUAAUCCUUGGAGGACCACCAGUGGCGAAGGCGGCCGACCAAAACGCGCCCGACGGUGAGGGACGAAAGCUGGGGGAGCGAACGGGAUUAGAUACCCCGGUAGUCCCAGCUGUAAACGAUGUGGACUAGGUGUUGGGAUGGGUAAGACCUAUCUCAGUGCCGCAGGGAAGCCGGUAAGUCCACCACCUGGGAAGUACGGCCGCAAGGUUGAAACUUAA
RNAcentral lists this ribosomal RNA (505 nucleotides) under uncultured archaeon. Its description in RNAcentral is "bacterial SSU rRNA". It matches the Rfam family "Archaeal small subunit ribosomal RNA", at positions 352 to 859 of the family's 1478-position model. The record is from RNAcentral.